UACGGGGGGAGCAAGCGUUGUUCGGAUUUACUGGGCGUAAAGGGCGCGUAGGCGGCCAGCACACGUCAGUUGUGAAAUCUCCGAGCUUAACUCGGAAAGGUCAACUGAUACUGUGCGGCUAGAGUGCGGAAGGGGCAACUGGAAUUCUUGGUGUAGCGGUGAAAUGCGUAGAUAUCAAGAGGAACACCUGCGGCGAAGGCGGUUUGCUGGGCCGACACUGACGCUGAGGCGCGAAAGCCAGGGGAGCGAACGGG
Molecule: ribosomal RNA, 254 nt
Filed under: uncultured bacterium
Lineage: Bacteria
Description: partial 16S ribosomal RNA
Rfam family: Bacterial small subunit ribosomal RNA
Source: RNAcentral